This 79-nucleotide transfer RNA is filed under the name Erinaceus europaeus (western European hedgehog). RNAcentral describes it as "tRNA-Lys (CTT) (tRNA-Lys-CTT-76-1)". The stretch from base 14 to 71 matches the Rfam family "tRNA", at positions 8 to 63 of the family's 71-position model. From Rfam's summary of the family: Transfer RNA (tRNA) molecules are approximately 80 nucleotides in length. Their secondary structure includes four short double-helical elements and three loops (D, anti-codon, and T loops). The record is from RNAcentral. Lineage: Eukaryota; Metazoa; Chordata; Mammalia; Eulipotyphla; Erinaceidae.
GCCAAGUAACGGCUAGCUCAGUUGGUAGAGCAUGAGACUCUUAAUCUCAGGGUCGUGGGUUCAUGCCCCACGUUGGGCG